UUGGAUUGUCUCUCUCUUUCCAACUUCUUCAAACACAAACAAUGAAGAUACUACAGCUUUCGUUCAUAGUAUUCCUACUGACAGGGUUCAUCAAUAUAUACCUUGAAAUUGCAAAUAGGUUCGUUGGAAAUCCUAUUAAACAUGUUCAUAGACGCUCAGUAACAGCGUCCAGCUUUACCAUCAUCCCAACAGUCUACCAUCAUGCAUGUUUUGCCGCACUCGCACCUUGGCACAUAAAGAGGUUCCAACAUUUGUUAAAUCGAAAAGAAAAACCUUGCUCUUAUGGAAAUAUUUUCUAUUGGUUAUUUUUAAGCGCAGAAAAUUACUACAAUGCGCCUGUUAUAUAUAGGGAAGACAACACACAAAAUUUAGCAAUACAUGUUCAAUUUUGCUGAAACGAAACAGA
This 406-nucleotide long non-coding RNA is filed under the name Nicotiana benthamiana. RNAcentral's name for it is "long non-coding RNA (NBEN_LNC029435)". Lineage: Eukaryota; Viridiplantae; Streptophyta; Magnoliopsida; Solanales; Solanaceae. The record is from RNAcentral.